CGCUGCAGCCUGUAGGAAGGCGGAGUUGGACAUCCAACCCCGCCCACAUCCAACUCCGCCCAUGUCCAACUCCGCCUUACGUCUAAAGCAACACCCACCUUACGUCCGUCACGAACGCCUACAUUUACUCCCGGUAAACAGGAAUUGUAGCCGAGAAAGCAGCUAAAGCAUCUAUCUGAUUUAUAUCUCCGGUUAUGGCGCAUCCAACACAUGUCCAGGCCACUCCUGACCCUUCACGGUUUGGCCAGUGUGGUGUUUUCAAAUGCCCCUGCUUCAGUUUUGACACUGACCAGCGAUUUAAUAACAGCCUACAUCUACAAAACCAUAUCAAACAAGCAGUCGAGAAUAACGGAAAGUUCAGCGUGUUGAACGUGUGACUGAUGAAGGAGAUAGAAUGGGCAACGUCUCCUUUGAACAGAUGCCCCUUAUUCUCAUAGAUACAGUUCUGGAAGAGGGUGACAAAGCUUUUUUAAAGCUGUCACUGGUUUGUCGUCUCUUCCGGGACAUUGUUUGGACAACAAUCAUUCCGGGCCUGGGCACAUUUCGAGUGGCUUGACAGUGUAGUGCCAUGAAAACAUCACAGUGCUGCAUGUAAAGACGAGUUUCGCAGGAUGUACGAACUGCAGUGCUGCCAGAACUGUCAAGAAACUUAUAAAGACUGCAUACUGGGCUACGUUGGGCAUGGGAGACGAGGGGAGCUUGUGGCAUUUUACAGCGAAAACGAGCACCCUGGAUUCUGCAGCCAGCUUCAUGAGUGGCUGGGUGUGUGAGUGGCUGGGUGUGUGAGUGGCUGGGUGUGUGAGUGGCAGGGUGUGUGAGUGGCAGGGUGUGUGAGUGGCAGGGUGUGUGAGUGGCAGGGUGUGUGAGUGGCAGGGUGUGUGAGUGGCAGGGUGUGUGAGUGGCAGGGUGUGUGAGUGGCAGGGUGUGUGAGUGGCAGGGUGUGUGAGUGGCUGGGUGUGUGAGUGGCUGGGUGUGUGAGUGGCUGGGUGUGUGAGUGGCUGGGUGUGUGAGUGGCUGGGUGUGUGAGUGGCUGGGUGUUGCAUUUUUAAAUAAAGACUUCUGUAUUUGUUUGACCAAAGCAUGUAACCAAACAUUUUAAAGGCUAGUGUGCCAAUAAAUGCCAAUAAAGAUAUUGUAUUAGCUUGGACAAAGUGUUUGUAAAUGGAGUUAAUUUCCCUGGGAACUACUGUCAGCCAUACAAAAUUGGGAGAGGAGAAGCAGGAAAGGGAUAUUAUUAUUAUUAUUAUUAUUAUUAUUAUUAUUAUUGACAAAAUAGCUAUGUAUACAUACAUUUUUAAUUUCUGAAACCACAGCAUUUGAUAUAUUGUACUCUAUCGUUAUACACUAUCCAGCAUACCAUUAUUACCACCUGCUUGUUUCUGCUUCUAUUAUUCUUUUUUUAGCUCCAAUUAGCAUCUAGGACACUUUAGUUGCAUAAUGGUUUACUGGUGUAUAAUAUAC
Molecule: long non-coding RNA, 1461 nt
Organism: Astyanax mexicanus (Mexican tetra)
Lineage: Eukaryota; Metazoa; Chordata; Actinopteri; Characiformes; Acestrorhamphidae
Exons: 6
Source: RefSeq, a predicted model, not a curated record